CAGCCGCCACGGUAAUACAGAGGGUGCGAGCGUUAAUCGGAUUUACUGGGCGUAAAGCGUGCGUAGGCGGCUUUUUAAGUCGGAUGUGAAAUCCCUGAGCUUAACUUAGGAAUUGCAUUCGAUACUGGGAAGCUAGAGUAUGGGAGAGGAUGGUAGAAUUCCAGGUGUAGCGGUGAAAUGCGUAGAGAUCUGGAGGAAUACCGGUGGCGAAGGCGGCCCCCUGGACAAAGACUGACGCUCAGGUGCGAAAGCGUGGGGAGCAAACAGGAUUAGAUACCCCUGUAGUCCCUGUCUCUUAUAC
RNAcentral lists this ribosomal RNA (301 nucleotides) under uncultured bacterium. RNAcentral's name for it is "partial 16S ribosomal RNA". It matches the Rfam family "Bacterial small subunit ribosomal RNA", at positions 509 to 807 of the family's 1533-position model. The record is from RNAcentral.